This 554-nucleotide ribosomal RNA is filed under the name uncultured archaeon. Its description in RNAcentral is "partial 16S ribosomal RNA". The record is from RNAcentral.
GUGCUCCCCCGCCAAUUCCUUUAAGUUUCAGCCUUGCGGCCGUACUUCCCAGGUGGCUCGCUUCACGGCUUCCCUACGGCACCGACCACGGUCGCACCGUGGCCGACACCUAGCGAGUAUCGUUUACGGCUAGGACUACCCGGGUAUCUAAUCCGGUUCGUGCCCCUAGCUUUCGUCCCUUGCCGUCAGAUCCGUUCUGGUGAGACGCCUUCGCCACUGGUGGUCCCUCAAGGAUUACAAGAUUUCACCCCUACCCCUGAGGUACCUCUCACCUCUCCCGGUCUCGAGCCGAUCAGUAUCUCCUGAAAGCCUGACAGUUAAGCUGCCAGAUUUCCCAAGAGACUUAGUCAGCCGGCUACAGACCCUUUAGACCCAAUAAUAGCGGUUACCACUCGAGCCGCCGGUGUUACCGCGGCGGCUGGCGCCGGUCUUGCCCGGCCCUUGCUAUGCAAUGCUUUUUAGGCAUUACGACAGCCAGGAUUGUAUCCUGACACUCGAGGUCCCCUUAUCGCUGUUUCCAGCAUUGUAAAGUUUUCGCGCCUGCUGCACCCCGU